CACGUAGGAGGCGAGCGUUGUCCGGAAUCAUUGGGCGUAAAGAGCGCGCAGGCGGCUUGGCAAGUCGGGUGUGAAAUCCCGGGGCUCAACCCCGUGACUGCAUCCGAUACUGUCAGGCUAGAGGUAGGUAGGGGAGAUCGGAAUUCCUGGUGUAGCGGUGAAAUGCGCAGAUAUCAGGAGGAACACCGGUGGCGAAGGCGGGUCUCUGGGCCGAUACUGACGCUGAGGAGCGAAAGCGUGGGGAGCGAACAGG
Molecule: ribosomal RNA, 253 nt
Filed under: uncultured bacterium
Lineage: Bacteria
Description: partial 16S ribosomal RNA
Rfam family: Bacterial small subunit ribosomal RNA
Source: RNAcentral